This 69-nucleotide transfer RNA is filed under the name Marmota monax (woodchuck). Its description in RNAcentral is "tRNA.Ala". Lineage: Eukaryota; Metazoa; Chordata; Mammalia; Rodentia; Sciuridae. The record is from RNAcentral.
GGAUGUGGCUCAAUGGUAAAUUGCUUGCCUGGCAAGCAUGAGGGUCUGUGUUCAAAUCUCCAAGCACCA